GAGGGUGUAGCUGAAGUGGUAGAGCGCAUGCUUAGCAUGCAUCAAGGUCCUGGGUUCAUUCCCCUGUACCUUCU
RNAcentral lists this transfer RNA (74 nucleotides) under Camelus bactrianus (Bactrian camel). It matches the Rfam family "tRNA". From Rfam's summary of the family: Transfer RNA (tRNA) molecules are approximately 80 nucleotides in length. Their secondary structure includes four short double-helical elements and three loops (D, anti-codon, and T loops). RNAcentral also lists the same sequence under 1 other name. Lineage: Eukaryota; Metazoa; Chordata; Mammalia; Artiodactyla; Camelidae. The record is from Rfam by way of RNAcentral.